GCGGAGAUAGUCUAGUUCGGUAGGGCGGUUGACUGCAGAUCAACAUAUCACGAGUUCAAAUCUCGUUCUUCGCU
This 74-nucleotide transfer RNA is filed under the name Candidatus Aenigmatarchaeota archaeon. RNAcentral's name for it is "tRNA-Cys". It matches the Rfam family "tRNA". From Rfam's summary of the family: Transfer RNA (tRNA) molecules are approximately 80 nucleotides in length. The record is from RNAcentral. Lineage: Archaea; Nanobdellati; Candidatus Aenigmatarchaeota. RNAcentral also lists the same sequence under 2 other names.